RNAcentral lists this small RNA (1108 nucleotides) under Arabidopsis thaliana (thale cress). Its description in RNAcentral is "ATSL212330". The record is from RNAcentral. Lineage: Eukaryota; Viridiplantae; Streptophyta; Magnoliopsida; Brassicales; Brassicaceae.
ACGCGAUUAAUCGUGGUGUGCUGGUAUGUUUACAAUUGCCUGAGUUCUUAUUAGACCGCUUGCAUGUGUGCAUCUUCCUGUGAACUUUAACACUAAAACAAUCUGAACUCUUUACUUUUGCACAUCGUAAAUACUAUUGACAACCUGUUGUUUUAUAUUGCCGACAUCGUAACAUGAGUCGCUUUGGAUCUGACGCUAUAGUUGCGGUCGCAAAACAAUACUUAUUUGCAGCUCUGUUAACCAAAUCUUGCACGGCCUCCUUAGAAACAAAUUCUUGGUGCAAUUCAAUCCCCGUUCCAUCUUCCCAUUCCGUAACACUCUGACUUUUCUCGCUACUCUGACUUCCUUCACCAACACAUGAAAGCUCAUAAUACUCAAUUCUACCAUCAACACCAUUAUCUUCAGCAACAUCCAUCCGGCUAUCCACAUGCUCCCUAUCUUCAAUAACUACAUUCUCCAUAGCCUCUUCAAAAACCCGGUUAUCCGCAUUCUCAAUAGCCUCUUCUACACUAUUAGCCUCUUCAAUAAUCGGUUCAUCAUUCACACAAUUACCUCCUGCAGUUUCUCCUCUAAAAAUCGUCACUACUCCACCAUUCUCCAUAUCAAAUGCAUUCAACUCCUCAGAAUUAAUACCAACUGAACUUCUUCCCUCUACCCUUGAAUUUUGUUCCACCCUCUCAGAUUCUUUAUUUACUACCUCCACGUUCAAAGUUGGUCUAAUUCCUUUAGCAUUCACUACCGUUAGAUAACCUAAAAAGUCAUCAUCAUCUACAAUAGAUGUAUCUCUCUGAGAUGUGCAUAGAAUAUAACUCAAUUUCACCUUCCUUGAGGUUUCAUCUAUUCCAAUCUUCUUGCAUAUCUUUUCUACUAACAUAGAGUAUGUUACCUUUAACGUUCUCAACAAUACACCGCUUAAAGAAUUGUUUGAAAUCCACUCAUGCUCUUUUGAAUAAUACCCAUUGUCAAAUUGUAUGAAUGUGUGCUUGUUCUUCAUCGUCUCCUGUAAUUACAAAUAAAUUAUAAAAACACAAUUACGUAAUCAUUCAGAUUUAGACAUAAUUGUACCUAUAUUAUAACUCACUAAUACCAUUCACCUGUCCUAAUUAUA